This 422-nucleotide ribosomal RNA is filed under the name uncultured bacterium. RNAcentral describes it as "bacterial SSU rRNA". It matches the Rfam family "Bacterial small subunit ribosomal RNA", at positions 358 to 771 of the family's 1533-position model. The record is from RNAcentral.
GGGAUAUUGCGCAAUGGGCGAAAGCCUGACGCAGCGACGCCGCGUGGGUGAUGAAGGCCUUCGGGUCGUAAAGCCCUUUCGAGGGGGAAGAACUGGUCGCGACCCACUACGUCUCGAUCUUGACGGUACACCUAAAGGCAGCACCGGCUAACUCCGUGCCAGCAGCCGCGGUAAUACGGAGGGUGCAAGCGUUGUUCGGAAUCACUGGGCGUAAAGCGCGGGCAGGCGGCUCGUUAAGUCUGGUGUGAAAGCCCGGGGCUCACCCCCGGAAGUGCACUGGAUACUGGCGAGCUCGAGUCCCGGAGAGGAGGGUGGAAUUCCUGGUGUAGCGGUGAAAUGCGUAGAUAUCAGGAGGAACACCGGCGGCGAAGGCGGCCCUCUGGACGGUGACUGACGCUGAGACGCGAAAGCGUGGGGAGCAA